Molecule: transfer RNA, 74 nt
Filed under: Candidatus Aenigmatarchaeota archaeon
Lineage: Archaea; Nanobdellati; Candidatus Aenigmatarchaeota
Description: tRNA-Arg
Rfam family: tRNA
About the family: Transfer RNA (tRNA) molecules are approximately 80 nucleotides in length. Their secondary structure includes four short double-helical elements and three loops (D, anti-codon, and T loops).
Source: RNAcentral
GGCCCCGUAGUUUAACUUGGAUAGAACACCAGCUUGCGGAGCUGGUCAUCCGUGUUCAAAUCACGGCGGGGUCA